GUGCCAGCAGCCGCGGUAAUACGUAGGUGGCAAGCGUUAUCCGGAAUUAUUGGGCGUAAAGCGCGCGCAGGUGGUUUCUUAAGUCUGAUGUGAAAGCCCACGGCUCAACCGUGGAGGGUCAUUGGAAACUGGGAGACUUGAGUGCAGAAGAGGAAAGUGGAAUUCCAUGUGUAGCGGUGAAAUGCGUAGAGAUAUGGAGGAACACCAGUGGCGAAGGCGACUUUCUGGUCUGCAACUGACACUGAGGCGCGAAAGCGUGGGGAGCAAACAGGAUUAGAUACCCUGGUAGUCC
RNAcentral lists this ribosomal RNA (292 nucleotides) under uncultured microorganism. RNAcentral describes it as "partial 16S ribosomal RNA". It matches the Rfam family "Bacterial small subunit ribosomal RNA", at positions 505 to 796 of the family's 1533-position model. The record is from RNAcentral.